This is a non-coding RNA of Heterocephalus glaber (naked mole-rat), 1097 nucleotides long. Lineage: Eukaryota; Metazoa; Chordata; Mammalia; Rodentia; Bathyergidae. The record is from RefSeq and is a predicted model, not a curated record.
AUGACUACUCAAUUAUAGGCUGGAGGAACAAGAGCCCUGCUGCGCUGCGGGUCACUCUGACCUUGGAAAAUAUCUCACUCAACUUCCUUGAGGACUGGGAGGCACUGUCAAUUACUACAGUGAUGCAAGUUUUCACAGCACUAAACGAUGACUCAGAACCAGCUACGGGAACAUUAAACAAGCCCAAAGCCAUACUAGGACCCGGGACACACCCCCAAAAGAUGCCCUUCAAAUCAGACUAAGGCUCCUCUACCCAGGAGCCUGCACCACCAGCCCUGCGGAGCUCCAGCCCCAUCUCAGUGAGCUGAUGACCCCAAAGUUCAAGGUCUCCGUGGCGUGGACCUGCAGGCUCAGCAGCCCUGGACAGCCCUCUGGACAGGGGCAAAGGACAGAAACUGCAGCCAGUCCAGUCUCCAGAGGGCAGCAGGCCAGGCAGGCUGGGAGCACUGGCCAGGCACAGACCCCAGCAGGGACCUCAGCUCCCAGUGGCCAGUUUCUCCGUCCACCGUUUCUCUCACCUGAGCUCAACCGAAAAUGUGAAGUGGAAAUGCCAGAAAAAAAUCCUCUCCCAUCUCUGAUCCAUCUGGAAAACAUCUGGUUCCCGGGUACGGCAGGAUGCAGCGUCCCUGUCCCAGCCGGCUUCCCCAUCAUUCCGCCCAGCUCAGUGACUAAUCCUUUCUUCCCGGCCCAUGAGAAAUCGCUGUCCUCACCAAAACCCCAACUCCUGCCAGCGCCCUGGUGUUGAAGAGGAACAGCUAUGCGCCCCUGCCCCACAGUGGAUUGGCCCUGAGAUGUCCCUGCCUCAAGUGCAGCCCCAGGAGGAUGCUGGAUUCCGCUGGUGGAGGCGGCAGCCGCGGGGAACCCACGGUGCUGCUCAGGGCAGGGGCUCCAAACAUCCCAGCAGGAGAACGGAAGGCCCUGCGGUGGGGCAUUCUCAAAGCACCCAGCAUGCACGCCCCUCUGCCCCCAGCCAGCCUCUUCCGUUCUCGAUUCUCUGAGCUCAGGGCUGCUGGACUCUGAUGGGUGGAAAAUCCACUUAUACAUUUUUUCUUACUUAUACAUUGUCAUAUUUUCCAAAAUGACUAUAAUGAAACGCG